GAUGAACGCUGGCGGCGCGCCUAACACAUGCAAGUCGAACGAUUAAAGCACCUUCGGGUGUGUAUAAAGUGGCGAACGGCUGAGUAACACGUGGGCAACCUGCCCCUUUCAUUGGGAUAGCCACGGGAAACCGUGGAUAAUACCGAAUACUUCGAGACUUCCGCAUGGAAGACUCGAGAAAGCUCCGGCGGAGAGGGAUGGGCCCGCGGCCUGUUAGCUUGUUGGUGGGGUAACGGCCUACCAAGGCAAUGAUGGGUAGCUGGGUUGAGAGACCGACCAGCCAGAUUGGGACUGAGACACGGCCCAGACUCCUACGGGAGGCAGCAGUGGGGAAUCUUGCACAAUGGGCGAAAGCCUGAUGCAGCGACGCCGCGUGCGGGAUGAGGGCCUUCGGGUUGUAAACCGCUUUCAGCAGGGACGAGGCGAAAGUGACGGUACCUGCAGAAGAAGCCCCGGCUAACUACGUG
This 467-nucleotide ribosomal RNA is filed under the name uncultured bacterium. RNAcentral describes it as "partial 16S ribosomal RNA". It matches the Rfam family "Bacterial small subunit ribosomal RNA", at positions 28 to 507 of the family's 1533-position model. The record is from RNAcentral.